This 463-nucleotide ribosomal RNA is filed under the name uncultured bacterium. RNAcentral's name for it is "SSU rRNA". It matches the Rfam family "Bacterial small subunit ribosomal RNA", at positions 26 to 518 of the family's 1533-position model. The record is from RNAcentral.
AGAACGAACGCUGGCGGCAUGCCUAACACAUGCAAGUCGAACGCUUUUGGGGCUUCGGUCCCAAAGGAGUGGCGCACGGGUGAGUAGCGCGUGGGAACCUGCCCUGUUGUGGGGGAUAACCGAGGGAAACUUCGGCUAAUACCGCAUACGCCCGGGGGAAACUCCGGGGAAAGAUUUAUCGCAGCAGGAGGGGCCCGCGUCGGAUUAGGUAGUUGGUGGGGUAACGGCCCACCAAGCCUGUGAUCCGUAGCUGGUCUGAGAGGAUGAUCAGCCACACUGGGACUGAGACACGGCCCAGACUCCUACGGGAGGCAGCAGUGGGGAAUAUUGGACAAUGGGCGCAAGCCUGAUCCAGCAAUGCCGCGUGAGUGAUGAAGGCCUUCGGGUUGUAAAGCUCUUUCGCACGCGACGAUGAUGACGGUAGCGUGAGAGAAGCCCCGGCUAACUUCGUGCCAGCAGCCGC